CUGUAUUAACUUCACAAGAUUAUCAUUUCAUUAAUUAUGUGGUCAAGAUAAUGCUGGUACAUGUUUUCAGGAAAUUUUGUCAUGUUGGUUCUACCUUUGUUCUUCUUUCUUGUUAUUGAAAGAUCAAAGAAGCAUAGUUUUGAUGUAUGACAAAAGACAUGGAGCAUUAUGUGAACAUUUUACUGUAAAUGCAAUAUAAAAUUUCCAGAAGGGUGACCCAUUUACACGGUGUAUACAAAUCAGAUAAUGUGACAAAACACACCUAUGUCUCUCCUAACCAACCAACAUUUUUACAAAAAGCUCUAGAAAUUGCUAAGAGAACCAUGGCCUUAUGGCCACCGGAAAACCUCAUCUGCCACAAACUUGCUCUACACCUUUAUUAACUUCCCAUAACAAUUAAGCAAGUCCCAUUUCCAUAAACCAUGUACACAUGAUUAACAUGAAAUUAUGACUCAACAUUAUAACACUUGGUUUGGCAGACUAACUUUAAGCUUCCUGAUCACACAUUUAAUAAGAAAUAGUAAAAGACUAAUUACAGGCACAAGUUAAAACCAAUCUUCCAUCACAACAACACAUAUCCAAUAGAAUGUUAAGAGUUCCUGAACAAAAAUUCUUCCACUAAUCUUUGAAAUCGACGAUAGCUUUGUCAAAUGGUGGGGUUUUAACACCAAUGUCAAGGAAGAUGUCUGCAGCUGCAUUCCGACCACUUUGAGUUUGCACAACAACACUGGGAAGUGGAGCAUAUACAGAUGGUUGUUCAGCACACUCAUUAACUGUUUAAUUCAACAACAGUUAGCUAACACCAUAUAUAACAACACAAUAAGGACAACAAUAUCUGAAAAACUAAACUACAUCCGGCAACAGCAGCCUCAUAAUCUCAUAAUGAAAUGUUAAAAAAAUACUUAUAGAGAUUAUAAAAAAAUACUUAUAGAGAUCAUACAUAUCUCAACAAGCCAAAAAUUAUAAAGAUACGAAAUUAAAAGAUUAAAUUAAAAAUCUUAUGAAAUGAAAACAAAAUACCAAUAUACAUUUGGACCAAAACAAAUUUCAAGUACCUAAUAACAAACAAAUAAGUAGAUCAAACUAUAUACUCCAUCAUGGUCCACGCAUAAUGAACCCAACCCACAAUCAAAUGUUACUAAAACUAGAAAACAUUAGGUUGAACUAUUUACAUUGUACAAACCCAUACCAAAUUAAACUGACCAAUCCCCUUACCCUGCUCCUAUGAACAAUAAAUUAAAGUAAUUUUAGGAGACACCCAUCAGGGAAAAAACACAGAUUAACCUUAUCAUUCAAAUAUCCAACACAAUAAACAAAGAGAAUCAAAUUAACAAGCACAUAUAACAAUAGUAAGGAUCAUUUUUCAAAAUAAUGAAGAUAAGAAAGCCCAGUUGAUCCAUUAAUAUAAAGCCAACAUGUAUGCAUAUACAUGUAUACAGAGCAAGAGAAAACUAACCCCUGAAGCACUGGUAAGCAUAAUCACAAUCUCUGGAUUUAUCUUCAAUUUAAGACCCUUCAAGACAGAAAAGACUAAUCUUUAACUACAUAAGAAAAAAAAAAGAGAAAAUAAAAGAUUAAUAAAUGUUCCACAACCAUAAAACCUAACACGAAAUGUGACCAAACAGCUAGGUAACCCCAAAAAUCACCACCAGAAAACGCAUAGUUCACCACCAAAAUGACAUAAAAAAGUAAAAAGCAGCAGAAAUGAGUAGUAAAUGUGAAAGACAAGUCCACCCUCUUCAGGAUAGACACUCUAACGGUAAGAGCUGGGGCAUUCUCUGGCAAAGUGCCCUUCUUUCCCGUUUGCCUAAAUCGCGAUUCUCAGUUUGCAGAACCUAGGGCUUAUUAUUUGGAGAGAGAGGAGCUCAGUUUGCUACAAUCGCGAUUCUCAGUUUGCCUAAAUCGCGAAUUUGGGGAGAAGAGCUCGACUAGGGCUUAUUAUUUGGAGAGAGAGGAGAGAAGCACGACUCAGAUUUGGGUUUUUUUUUAAAAAGACGGAAAGGUUUUAAAUAAUUAUGUUACUUAAGAAAAUUAUGCUAUUUAAAAUUUAUGCUUUUG
Molecule: long non-coding RNA, 2058 nt
Filed under: Panax ginseng (ginseng)
Lineage: Eukaryota; Viridiplantae; Streptophyta; Magnoliopsida; Apiales; Araliaceae
Description: long non-coding RNA (PGIN_LNC005614)
Source: RNAcentral